UGGACCGGCUAUCCGAAAGGAUAGUGCUGUGAGAUCGGAUAACCGAGUAAAGUUCUAAAUAUAUAAUUGAUGAUGACAAUAUAUAUAUUAUGUCUUGACCAAUUACGUGCCAGCAGUCGCGGCAAUACGUUAAGAGACUAGUGUUAUUCAUCUUUAAUAGGUUUAAAGGGUACCCAGACAGCAAACGUCGUCUUUUCAAAAAGGGAACGACUUAGCUAGAGUUUUAUGUGAGGAGGUCGUACUCGUGAGUGGAGAGAUGAAAUUCUGUGAUACCUAGGGGACGGAUAAAGGCGAAGGCAGCCUCUUAUGUAAAAACUGACGUUGGAGGACGAAGGCACAGAUAACGAACAGGAUUAGGGACCCUAGUAGUCUUUGCAGACAAUGAUGAAUGCCAUAGGUUAGGUUUUUACUUGGUCUAUAAAUGAAAGUGUAAGCAUUUCACCUCAAGAGUAGUGCGGCAACGCAGGAACUGAAAUCACUAGACCGUUUCUGACACCAGUAGUGAAGUAUGUUGUAUAACUCGUCAUUCCACGAAGAAUCUUACCACAAUUUGAAUAGAAUUAUAAGCUAGUUAAGUACUUAUAUGCUUAAUAAAAAAGGUAUUCGCUUAACUUCUAAUUUUAAAUGGCUUCACUUGCCUGCUUAAAUCUAGAAGUUAAAUAACUAAAAAAGAAAAAACGUAAGCCUACGCGGUUUCACCGCGUAGCAGUUAUUGUACUGCUAAUUCAUACAAGCGUUGCACGGCUGUUUCCAGUUAAUGUUGUGAAACUGUGGCCUGUGCCAUGGAAUUAACGUAAACCU
Molecule: ribosomal RNA, 801 nt
Filed under: Cainiella borealis
Lineage: Eukaryota; Fungi; Ascomycota; Sordariomycetes; Diaporthales; Sydowiellaceae
Rfam family: Bacterial small subunit ribosomal RNA
Source: RNAcentral